RNAcentral lists this long non-coding RNA (1549 nucleotides) under Homo sapiens (human). RNAcentral's name for it is "HSALNT0344933". The record is from RNAcentral. Lineage: Eukaryota; Metazoa; Chordata; Mammalia; Primates; Hominidae.
AAAAAAAAAAAAAAAAAAACAACCUAGAGAUGUCCAUCCAGGCUGGACAGAAUAUUCCAGAGCAGAGAUUGGGACACUAUGGCCCAUGGGCCAAAUCUGACCUGCUUGCACAUGUGUUUGUCAAUAAAGUUUUAUUGAAACACAGCCAUGCACAUUUGCUACAUAUUGUCUACGGCUGCUGGAUUUGGCUGUUCUCAUGGUAUAAAGAAAUACCUGAGACUGGGUAAUAUAUAAAGAAAAGAGGUUUAAUUGGCUCGCAGUUUUGUAGGCUAUACAGGGAGCAUGACACUGACAUCUGCUGAGCUUCUGUGGAGGCCUCAGGAAACUUACAAUGAUGGCAGAAAGUGAAGCGGGAGCAAGAGAGUAAGGAGGGAGGUGCGACACACUCGUAAACAACCCGAUCUUGCAAGAACUCACUCACUAUUGCAAGGACAGGACCAAAAGGAUGAUGCAAAAUCAUUCAUGAGAAAUCCACCCCCAUGAUUCAAUCUCUUCCCACCAGGCCCCACCUCUAACACUGGGGACAGCUUUUAUCUUGGCUUUUUCACUGGCAGCCCCUUCCUCAAGGACUUAACUUGUGUAAGCUGACUCUUAGCAGAUCUAAGAAUGCAAUUAACUGAUAAGAUACUGUGGGGCGAGCAAUAUCCACAGUUCCCAGGAAUUUGUCCGAUUGAUAAUGCCUAAAGCCCCACGUCUAUCACUUUGUAAUAGUCUUAAAGCCCUUAGACCUAGAACUCUUUACUUUCCUGUAUCAAUUUAUCCUUUUAACUUUUUUGCCUACUUCUGUAAAAUUCUUUUAACUAGACCUGUUUCCCCUUUCUAAACUGAAGUAUAAAAGAAAAUCUAGCCCCUUCUUCGGGGCCAAGAAAACGUUAAGAGUUAGCCAUUUCUUAGGCACCAGCUAAAUAAGGAGACUCUUAAUUCAUGUGAAAGUGUGGCAUUUUCUCCAACUCAUUCAAGUACAACAUUUGGAGGCCCCAGCGAGAAACGCCAUGAGGAGAGAGCCGGGCUCCCCCGGAAGGACGGCCGGCUUGUGGGGGGUGCCACCUAAAAAAAAACCUUCAGGUCCUCGAAAAGUGACCGUCUUCCAGAGGAGAGCGGAUCGACUACCCGGCUGGCGACCACAGUCCUGUCUUUUCUGCCAGAAGCAAGUCAAGUGUUGUUACAAGAACAAGUGUGAAAAACAUUUGCCUGAUUAAGAUUUCUAGCACCAUGAAAGUUAUCCUUCUUAGAAAUUCCUAAGGCUCAAUGCUUUGUGGAAGAUUCUGAGAAAGAAAAUAGUUUCCGAUCUUUGGGAUUCCCGAGAUGGUCCAAUCUGCAAAAAGUUCAUUGCCAUUUCCAUCAAGGACACUGAGAACAAGAGUCUUAUCUGGAUUGGAUCCUGGGAAUUGAGAAGCUUCAGCAGUACAUGCUCGAUACUGCAUACAACCAAGACUUUCACCUGAGGGCUUUCUGAAAGUCAGGCAUGGAGUAUGUCAGAAAAGCCACAGAAGCUGGGCGCAGUGGCUCACUCCUGUAAUCCCAACACUGGGAGGCCGAGGCAGGUGGA